AUUGAACGCUGGCGGUAUGCCUAACACAUGCAAGUCGAACGAGGUAGCAAUACCUAGUGGCGGACGGGUGAGGAAUACGUAGGGAUCUGCCCUUAAGUGGGGGAUAACCCGGGGGAAACCCGGAUUAAUACCGCAUGAUCUCGCAAGAGCAAAGAGGGGGACCGCAAGGCCUCUCGCUUUUGGAGGAACCUACGUCGGAUUAGCUAGUUGGUGAGGUAAUGGCUCACCAAGGCGACGAUCCGUAACUGGUCUGAGAGGAUGAUCAGUCACACCGGAACUGAGACACGGUCCGGACUCCUACGGGAGGCAGCAGUGGGGAAUAUUGGACAAUGGGCGAAAGCCUGAUCCAGCAAUACCGCGUGUGUGAAGAAGGCC
RNAcentral lists this ribosomal RNA (375 nucleotides) under uncultured bacterium. Its description in RNAcentral is "bacterial SSU rRNA". It matches the Rfam family "Bacterial small subunit ribosomal RNA", at positions 30 to 416 of the family's 1533-position model. The record is from RNAcentral.